GGGCUCGUAGCUCAGUAGGAUAGAGCGACGGCCUCCUAAGCCGUAGGUCUGCGGUUCAACUCCGCACGAGCCCGCCA
This 77-nucleotide transfer RNA is filed under the name Synergistaceae bacterium. RNAcentral describes it as "tRNA-Arg". It matches the Rfam family "tRNA". Rfam says of the family: Transfer RNA (tRNA) molecules are approximately 80 nucleotides in length. Their secondary structure includes four short double-helical elements and three loops (D, anti-codon, and T loops). Further hydrogen bonds mediate the characteristic L-shaped molecular structure. tRNAs have two regions of fundamental functional importance: the anti-codon, which is responsible for specific mRNA codon recognition, and the 3' end, to which the tRNAs corresponding amino acid is attached (by aminoacyl-tRNA synthetases). tRNAs cope with the degeneracy of the genetic code in two manners: having more than one tRNA (with a specific anti-codon) for a particular amino acid; and 'wobble' base-pairing, i.e. permitting non-standard base-pairing at the 3rd anti-codon position. The record is from RNAcentral. Lineage: Bacteria; Thermotogati; Synergistota; Synergistia; Synergistales; Synergistaceae.